RNAcentral lists this unclassified non-coding RNA (1709 nucleotides) under Hevea brasiliensis (rubber tree). Lineage: Eukaryota; Viridiplantae; Streptophyta; Magnoliopsida; Malpighiales; Euphorbiaceae. The record is from RNAcentral.
CCAAGAACUUACGGUAUUUAUAAUUAAUCUAGAGACAACAAAACAAUGUAUCAAAGAAAGAAACUACACAACAAAAUGAAUUUCUACAAGCAUGAAGCAUUAGCCCUCAAAGCGCUAACAGGCUACCAAAUAUGCUUUCGAAUUUAAAAGUAAACCAUCUUUCUAAAAAUUAAUCAUUUCUCAACCUCUGCUCUAAUUAGAUAACGCACCUACAAGAUGAUCACUACAAUUUUCUAUAGUUUGAUUCUGUUCUUUUACUGCAAUAAAUAAAUUCAAAAUAACAAAAAUUGAAAACAAUAAAUCCUGGGAAUAGCACCGAGAACUUCAUCGUGUAGCUUGUGCCUGUGCGUGAUCUAAAAGUUGACUGACUAACUUGUAAGUACGCCCUGACAAUGCCUUGGUGUGAUCUAUCAACUGCUCAUACCUGAAGUGAGGAAAACUUUGAAAUUGCAUUUGAGCUAUUUAAGAAAAAUAAAGAAAAGAAAACCAAUGUAUAUAGAUAGAGUGCAAAGGAAAUUAUAAUAGGAGAAGACAAGACCAAGUAGGUUAAAAGAACAAUUAAGUGCAAUUGUUUAUAAAUCUAUCGGUAAUCUUACACGUUGGGAUAAUUAGGCUCCAUGAUAACAGUUUCUAAUUUUGAAUCAAUCUUAGCAUCAAGCUUUGAGUUUCGUAUGAGAUUCACAAUCCAUCUCUCAGCCUCCUCAUAAUUCAGGUUCAAUUUCUCUGCAAGGACUCUGCAAUGAACAGCAAAUUAGUUAAAGUGUAAUAAACAAAGAGAAGCAUUAAAGUUUAAUGCAAGAUGAAAAAUUGUGUCCCAAUUCCCAAGCAUAAUUAAGGCUAUAGUGUGCUUGAUGAUCCAAAUAUUAACUGACCCCAAUUUUCAGAUAUAGUGCAGAGAACCUCAACUAUUACAGUAGGGCACAAGAUAUUCAUUUCUCAAAUGAAAAAUAAAGACACAUGGCAUAUUAAUUAUUGGCGCAUCUACUAUAAACUUUACCUUAUACAAGAGCAUGCCUCGUAGUCUUUAGAUCAAAUAUUUGCAUAGAGUUUUGUGUAUAAUUAUUUCAAUUAUACAUACACAUUAAUUGACCCUACAUAAAUCUCGGUAUAAAUAUCUUAUCUAAAAAAUACUAGAAUCAUUCACACAUAAGGUCGAGCUGGUAUUAGCUACACCCAUUGAAAAAUACAAGUGAAAAUAUAACCAUCAAAUUGAAAAAUUUUUAGUUUUUCCGGUUUUCUUUUCCUUUCCUUACGUUCACUGUUUAUUAAAAAUGUGUUGGAUUCUUGAAGCUAAGUUUAUUCAACAUUCCCCAAAAUAAAAUUAAAUAUUUAGUUACAUCCCCUAAGAAGAGGUGAAUUCUCGUGUCAAAUAUUUCCAUUUGCGAAGCUUCGCUAACACAUCCAGUAAGUCUGUGCUUACCCCAUGUCAAUACGUUGAUGUAUACGGCAAUAAGUUUCAAAGAUAAAUAGGCGGGCAUUUUCAAGGAACUCAUCUCUCAGAGGCACGGUAGAAAAGUUACCAUCUUCAAUUUGUUUUCCAAGGAAUGGAUCAUUUAAAAUCACUUCUUCACACUCCCUCAUCUUCUUUUGUGCCCCAUCAAAAUCAUAAUUAACAUAUACACAUGCUAAAAACUCUGUGAUGGGAUCUUUGUACGAGUGCUGCUCUUGCUGUACGACUUUUAUAAAGUCUUUGAAUUGAGGUCUUCUCC